CUUGACGACCAUAGAGCGUUGGAACCACCUGAUCCCAUCCCGAACUCAGUAGUGAAACGACGCAUCGCCGAUGGUAGUGUGGGGCUUCCCCAUGUGAGAGUAGGUCAUCGUCAAGC
Molecule: ribosomal RNA, 116 nt
Filed under: Stutzerimonas stutzeri
Lineage: Bacteria; Pseudomonadati; Pseudomonadota; Gammaproteobacteria; Pseudomonadales; Pseudomonadaceae
Also listed under: 14 other names
Source: RNAcentral